This 140-nucleotide ribosomal RNA is filed under the name uncultured eukaryote. RNAcentral's name for it is "partial 18S ribosomal RNA". It matches the Rfam family "Eukaryotic small subunit ribosomal RNA", at positions 1299 to 1458 of the family's 1831-position model. The record is from RNAcentral.
UGGUGGAGUGAUUUGUCUGGUUAAUUCCGUUAACGAACGAGACCUCGGCCUGCUAAAUAGUUCGACGAUACUACGGUAUCGUACGCAACUUCUUAGAGGGACAAUCGGUGUUUAGCCGAUGGAAGUCCGAGGCAAUAACA